CUUUAUUUUAAAUUUUUUUUUAUUUAAGUAGUGUAAAUAAUUAUAUAUUAUAGUAAAUUUGAAACUUAAAAAGCUUGGCGNUACUAUAUAUCCUUUCAGGGGAGCUUGUUUAUUAAUUUGAUAAUCCUCAAUUAAUCUUACUUUUUUUUGAAUAUAUAACAGUUUGUAUAUUGCUGUCAUCAGUUUAUUUCGUGAGGAUUAAUUAAAAAAACUUAAAAGUGAUUUUGCUAAUAUGUCAAGUCAAAAUGCAGCUAAUGAAAAAGGUUUAAAAUUAAAAUGAGCUACAAUUUAUAAUUUUUAAUUGGAUUAAAUAAUGUAAUAUAUUUUUGAAAUUGGACUUGAUAGUAAUAUAAUUAAUUAGAUAUGUUUAUAUGAAUUUGGUUUUAUAGUGUGU
Molecule: ribosomal RNA, 394 nt
Filed under: Acanthosepion smithi
Lineage: Eukaryota; Metazoa; Mollusca; Cephalopoda; Sepiida; Sepiidae
Description: Sepia smithi partial 12S ribosomal RNA
Source: RNAcentral